UGGGGAAUAUUGGACAAUGCCCGCAAGGGUGAUCCAGCCAUGCCGCGUGCAGGAAGACGGCCCUAUGGGUUGUAAAGCUCUUUCAGGUGGAAAGAAAACGCAUAGGUUAAUACCUUGUGCGGAUGACGGUACCAUCAGAAGAAGCACCGGCUAACUACGUGCCAGCAGCCGCGGUAAUACGUAGGGUGCGAGCGUUAAUCGGAAUUACUGGGCGUAAAGCGUGCGCCGGCGGUUAUGUAAGACAGAUGGGAAAUCCCCGGGCUCAACCUGGGAACUGCGUUUGUGACUGCAUAACUAGAGUACGGUAGAGGGGGAUGGAAUUCCGCGUGUAGCAGUGAAAUGCGUAGAUAUGCGGAGGAACACCGAUGGCGAAGGCAAUCCCCUGGGCUUGUACUGACGCUCAUGCACGAAAGCGUGGGGAGCAAACA
Molecule: ribosomal RNA, 428 nt
Filed under: uncultured bacterium
Lineage: Bacteria
Description: bacterial SSU rRNA
Rfam family: Bacterial small subunit ribosomal RNA
Source: RNAcentral